AUGAUUGGUGAUACUAAGUUACGCGAAUGCACAGGCAUGUGCAUCAAAAGCUCAUGUCCCAAUGCUACAAGUUUCCUUACAUCGAUAAAUUUGAUUCCACUUACUUGGCAUGCAAGCAAGAUCACUAAACAUUUGACGAUUAAAUUACGCCUUCCAAAUGAUCAGAUUGUCACUGGGUGGAUAGCUGAUCCUGAGAUAUAUGUUGAUUUUUUCAUCAUCAACGUCGCUGGUGUUAAUGCCCCACAUGUAAGUCUUGAUCAUGAGAUGCAGUUUGAGCCUUAUAGGAAGGUAGCAGCUGUAUGUCGCAAUUUCAAUUCAGGACUAUUAACGGACACAAGCGGAGUAGAUCUUGCCUCUCCAAGCGCUCGAACUGAUGAGACAAUGUUCAGCACAUGCCUGAUCCACAAGGUGUCGGUUGGAGGUCCCCUUGUUGAUUUUGAUGGCAACUUCAUUGGGAUGAACUGCUCUUGUACCAAAGAAAGAAAGACCCGCUAUUGUUAA
RNAcentral lists this ribosomal RNA (501 nucleotides) under Triticum aestivum (bread wheat). RNAcentral's name for it is "partial small subunit ribosomal RNA". The record is from RNAcentral. Lineage: Eukaryota; Viridiplantae; Streptophyta; Magnoliopsida; Poales; Poaceae.